GGUCCCUUAGCUCAGCUGGUAGAGCAACUGACUCUUAAUCAGUGGGUCAAAGGUUCGAAUCCUUUAGGGAUCACCA
This 76-nucleotide transfer RNA is filed under the name Erysipelotrichaceae bacterium. RNAcentral describes it as "tRNA-Lys". It matches the Rfam family "tRNA". From Rfam's summary of the family: Transfer RNA (tRNA) molecules are approximately 80 nucleotides in length. Their secondary structure includes four short double-helical elements and three loops (D, anti-codon, and T loops). Lineage: Bacteria; Bacillati; Bacillota; Erysipelotrichia; Erysipelotrichales; Erysipelotrichaceae. The record is from RNAcentral. RNAcentral also lists the same sequence under 1 other name.